GGAGUAAAAAUCUGCUUCUCUUAUUUUUUACGCUCUACUACAUCCUUCCUCAGAGAAGUCUCUAGGCUUAGUGGUUAAGGGUGAGGAGUGGACCAGGAUCAAACUCAGUCCUGAGACUGAGGUGCUGUGGCAUUUACCUCAUUCCUCUACACUGCUGUUUCCUCAUAUGAAGCCGGAGGAAAAACUCCUUAUCUCACCUUGUAGGAUCAAAUGAAAGAAUCAAAGUAGUUUACUUAGCCCAAAGGACUUCACUCCUUGGCCCAUAGUUACUUAGAUAUGUUUAGUACUUUAUAUUCCCCUUGCCUGUACAGACGACAUUCAAGAACUCUUAAAAUAUUUGUUUAGAUCUUCAGUACUGGCCAGGUAUGAUGUACCUGUAUUCACCUUGAGAAAAAAAAAAAAAAGAGACGAUUUAGUCAAUGGAUUUGGACUGGUCUUUCUUAAUCAUAAUAAUGUUUGUAAGCAUUUAUUUGUAGCUCACGAUAAACUGAUAGAGUAUUUGGAA
Molecule: long non-coding RNA, 505 nt
Organism: Hyaena hyaena (striped hyena)
Lineage: Eukaryota; Metazoa; Chordata; Mammalia; Carnivora; Hyaenidae
Exons: 2
Source: RefSeq, a predicted model, not a curated record